This 1370-nucleotide long non-coding RNA is filed under the name Oryctolagus cuniculus (rabbit). RNAcentral's name for it is "lncRNA (ENSOCUG00000029872.1)". The record is from RNAcentral. Lineage: Eukaryota; Metazoa; Chordata; Mammalia; Lagomorpha; Leporidae.
AAAUGGGUGUAGUUAUCCUAGAGAGGGAGUAGCCCUAAAAAUCUCUAAGGAGAUGAGCAUAAGAAACCUACUUGCUUCAUAAACAAGAAAAUAAUCUGAGAUAAAGUAAUAUAUACAAUUUUAUUUUUCAGUGAAAUGUAAUGUAAACCUCUUUUUUCUGGUCUUUUAAUUGACUUUUCAAGCAAAUCCCCCAGACAUUUAUUCAUUUUAAAGUGAAGAUUUACAUUGGAAAACACAAAUGAAAUGAUUGGAGGGUAUGCAAUCAUGGGUCUUAAAGAGACCGAAAUCAUUAGCCUUACAGGGCACGACGUAUUUCUUUCAGACCCUGCAUGUUUCUGAGUAUUAUAACAUGUUUAUUUUUUCCUCAAUCAUUUGUUACACUCUCUGCCUUGGGUGGCUAAAUUAAACUGGUUUUCAUGGGACUUUCUCAGUUUCUUGGAGAUACUGUUCCUGGGAAAGCCAUCAGCCCUGAGAUUGGUGAUCAUCCUAGAACUGCAGGGUCAUCUGGCUCUGCUUUAGCAAUGGAGACUUGAGUAGAUGUGAGAGGACUGAAUUGAUGAGGUGAAGGAGUAGACAGGCAUCUGUGGUGGACAGGAAUCUGUGCUCCUUCAAGUUUGGGGUCAGCUCAGGUUGGGGGAGGAGAGGGAUCACUUGAAACUCUCUUGGGAAGCCACAUAAAAUCACAACACUGGAUUAUAGGCACAAAGUUUGCUGUCACACUUGCAGUUUUAUCCAGCUUGUCUGGCUCUUCUCUGAAUCCUGUCUUAAAAGCAGCAUCCUCCUAUUCUUGAGAAAGCCUAAACUUAAGUGACAGGACAUAAAUAGCUGGAGAGAAAAAUCCAGUUCAAUAUAGGCCAGAGAAAAUUCAAACUCCCACAAAUCCCCACCCUCAAGUCCUCAAAGCUGGAGGAGUUAAGAGCAUUACAUCACCAGCUACUGCUCCCAUUGGCUAAUGGUACCUCAAGGACCAGAACACCUGCUCCUUGGACUAACUCUUUCCUUCCCUUGCAAAGCAUCGGAAACCUGAAUAUCUUGAAUAGAACAAAGCCUCUGGGCGAUGACAGCCUUUCAGAGGGGCACACCCUGCUGGGUCACGGUUUCAACGUGCAUGCCCCUGUGAGCAUGUGCAUGGCGGGACGCACUGAGCCCAGCCAACAAGUGGUGACACGAGCUUAUUUCAUCAAUGUAACAUUACCUGUAGUCCACUGAAGAAGAGCGUGAGCUACAAAAAUGGCAAGGAUUCAGAUGAACGUUUUGUAUUCAGCUUCUUCUGCAAAAGGUAGAAAUAUCCCAACUGUAUGAUUUUCAUCAUCUGCUACUUAAAUCCCAAUUCAGUCCCAAUCAAGCACAAACAAUGAUUUGCAGACUGC